GACGAACGCUGGCGGCGUGCUUAACACAUGCAAGUCGAACGGAAAGGCCCUUCUUGUUUGUGGUGCUCGAAUGGCGAACGGGUGACUAACACGUUAUUAACCUCCCUUUGACUUUGGGAUAACUUCAGGAAACUGGUGCUAAUACCGGAUAGGAGCUCCUGCUGCAUGGUGGGGGUUGGAAUGUUUCGGCGGUUGGGGAUGGACUCGCGGCUUAUCAGCUUGUUGGUGGGGUAGUGGCUUACCAAGGCUUUGACGGGUAGCCGGCCUGAGAGGGUGACCGGCCACACUGGGACUGAGAUACGGCCCAGACUCCUACGGGAGGCAGCAGUGGGGAAUAUUGCACAAUGGGCGGAAGCCUGAUGCAGCAACGCCGCGUGAGGGAUGACGGCCUUCGGGUUGUAAACCGCUUUCGCCUGUGACGAAGCGUGAGUGACGGUAAUGGGUAAAGAAGCACCGGCUAACUACGUG
This 468-nucleotide ribosomal RNA is filed under the name uncultured bacterium. RNAcentral's name for it is "partial 16S ribosomal RNA". It matches the Rfam family "Bacterial small subunit ribosomal RNA", at positions 28 to 507 of the family's 1533-position model. The record is from RNAcentral.